UGGGGAAUAUUGCACAAUGGGCGCAAGCCUGAUGCAGCCAUGCCGCGUGUGUGAAGAAGGCCUUCGGGUUGUAAAGCACUUUCAGCGAGGAGGAAGGUGGUGAACUUAAUACGUUCAUCAAUUGACGUUACUCGCAGAAGAAGCACCGGCUAACUCCGUGCCAGCAGCCGCGGUAAUACGGAGGGUGCAAGCGUUAAUCGGAAUUACUGGGCGUAAAGCGCACGCAGGCGGUUUGUUAAGUCAGAUGUGAAAUCCCCGGGCUCAACCUGGGAACUGCAUUUGAAACUGGCAAGCUAGAGUCUCGUAGAGGGGGGUAGAAUUCCAGGUGUAGCGGUGAAAUGCGUAGAGAUCUGGAGGAAUACCGGUGGCGAAGGCGGCCCCCUGGACGAAGACUGACGCUCAGGUGCGAAAGCGUGGGGAGCAAACAGGAUUAGAUACCCCUGGUAGUCCACGCUGUAAAACGAUGUCGAUUUUGGAGGUUGUGCCCUUGAGGCGUGGCUUCCGGAGCUAACGCGUUAAAUCGACCGCCUGGGGAGUACGGCCGCAAGGUUAAAACUCAAAGGAAUUGACGGGGUCUAGCUG
This 582-nucleotide ribosomal RNA is filed under the name uncultured bacterium. Its description in RNAcentral is "partial 16S ribosomal RNA". It matches the Rfam family "Bacterial small subunit ribosomal RNA", at positions 355 to 926 of the family's 1533-position model. The record is from RNAcentral.